Non-coding RNA from Acanthosepion pharaonis, 112 nucleotides. NCBI's taxonomy places the organism in Eukaryota, Metazoa, Mollusca, Cephalopoda, Sepiida, Sepiidae. The record is from the annotation of a GenBank genome assembly.
UACAGCCACACCACGUUGAAACACCUGUUCCUGUACGAUCACCGAAGUUAAGCAAAGUCGAGUCUGGUCAGUAACAAUAUGGGUGACCGCUUGAGAAUACCAGCUGCUGUAA